CAGGCAGGCUGCCCGGUCCCGCUGAGCCUCCAGCUAGCAUGGUGACAAUAAUAGGACCUGCUUCAAAGGGUUAUUGUGAGUUUUCAGUGAGAUAAAGCACGAAAAGGUCAGCACAGCCCCACAGCAUUAGUGCCCAUUCGUGGAGUUGCUGCUGCUGCUGCUGCUGCUGGCGUUCAUGCACCAUCCGGACCCGGUGCUACAGGAUGGAGAACCAGCAGUGACCCUACCGGCCCGGGGUGGCUGCAGAACAAAGAGGGCGACGAGAAAGGUGUCUGAGGAGCGAGGUUCUGGCGAAGCCCCGCGUCCUGCACCGCCAGGCCCGUUCCAGACUGCAAGAAAUGGCGGGUGUGCGCCCUCCGGGACCCGAAGACACGCGCUCACGCCCGCUUGCUAGGACUGUCCAGACCCAGGACACCCCACAGGCUGAAGAUCCCUGCCGCUAAGGGACGCCUGAUCGUGUGCACUUGACAGUUGCGAAGACAGUAGAUCUCAAAUGUUCUCACCCCCAAAAAGAAAUGACGUGGACGUGUGCGCCAGCGCUGUGGCAGCGGUCACUUUGCAGCAUGUGAGUUCCAGAGAGAUAAAUGCAUCCAUGUCGCCCCCACUGCCCUGUGCAUGCGUGCACACACACACACUCACACACACACACACUCACACACGCACCCCACCCCCACCCCCUCCCGGCCACUGAGCUACCUGCUCGAGCUGAGAACAUUUCAGAUGUGCUCUACUGGCAACAUGGCGGUCAUCAUUUUGCAAUAUUUAUACUUAUGUGUCAAAUCAGUCUCACUUACAUUUUCUCUGUUCUUCAGCAGUUAUCGCAAUAAAACUGGAAAAACAUUUUAGUACAAAA
This is a long non-coding RNA of Talpa occidentalis (Iberian mole), 853 nucleotides long. RefSeq lists it as uncharacterized. NCBI's taxonomy places the organism in Eukaryota, Metazoa, Chordata, Mammalia, Eulipotyphla, Talpidae. The transcript is spliced from 3 exons. The record is from RefSeq and is a predicted model, not a curated record.